AGAGUUUGAUCCUGGCUCAGGAUGAACGCUAGCGGCAGGCUUAACACAUGCAAGUCGAGGGGUAGAUGCAGCUUGCUGCAUUGAGACCGGCGCACGGGUGCGUAACGCGUAUGCAAUCUGCCUUGUACUGGGGGAUAGCCCAGAGAAAUUCGGACUAAUAUCCCAUAAUGAUAUUGAAAGGCAUCUUUUGAUAUUUAAAGCUCAGGCGGUACGGGAUGGGCAUGCGGAACAUUAGCUAGUUGGCAGGGUAACGGCCUACCAAGGCUGCGAUGUUUAGGGGACCUGAGAGGGUUAUCCCCCACACUGGUACUGAGACACGGACCAGACUCCUACGGGAGGCAGCAGUGAGGAAUAUUGGUCAAUGGGCGCAAGCCUGAACCAGCCAUCCCGCGUGAAGGAAGAAGGCGCUAUGCGUUGUAAACUUCUUUUCCAGGGGGAGAAUUUUCCGGUCGUGACCGGGAUUGACGGUACUCUGGGAAUAAGCAUCGGCUAACUCCGUGCCAGCAGCCGCGGUAAUA
This 518-nucleotide ribosomal RNA is filed under the name uncultured bacterium. RNAcentral's name for it is "bacterial SSU rRNA". It matches the Rfam family "Bacterial small subunit ribosomal RNA", at positions 8 to 525 of the family's 1533-position model. The record is from RNAcentral.